UUCCGGUUGAUCCCGCCGGACCUGACUGCUAUCGGAUUGAUACUAAGCCAUGCUAGUCUUUGUAGUAAUACAAGGCAUACGGCUCAGUAACGCGUAGUCAACCUACCCUAUGGACGGGGAUAAUCUCGGGAAACUGAGCAUAAUACCCGGCAGACCACUUAUCCUGGAAUGGUUAGUGGUUAAAAUGAUUCGUCGCCAUAGGAUGGGACUGCGGCCUAUCAGCUUGUUGGUGAGGUAAUGGCCCACCAAGGCGAUUACAGGUACGGGCUCUGAGAGGAGAGGCCCGGAGAUGGGUACUGAGACAAGGACCCAGGCCCUAUGGGGCGCAGCAGGCGAGAAAACUUUGCAAUGUGCGAAAGCACGACAAGGUUAAUCCGAGUGAUUUCUGCUAAAGGAAUCUUUUGUUAGUUCUAAAAAUACUAGUGAAUAAGGGGUGGGCAAGUUCUGGUGUCAGCCGCCGCGGUAAAACCAGCACCUCAAGUGGUCAGGAGGAUUAUUGGGCCUAAAGCAUCCGUAGCCUGUUCUAUAAGUUUGCGGUUAAAUCUAUACGCUCAACGUAUAGGCUGCCGUAAAUACUGUAGAACUAGGGAGUGGGAGAGGUAGACGGUACUCGAUAGGAAGGGGUAAAAUCCUUUGAUCUAUUGAUGACCACCUGUGGCGAAGGCGGUCUACCAGAACACGUUCGACGGUGAGGGAUGAAAGCUGGGGGAGCAAACCGGAUUAGAUACCCGGGUAGUCCCAGCUGUAAACGAUGCAGACUCGAUGAUGCAAUGGCAUAGAGCUAUUGCAGUAUCGCAGGGAAGCCGUUAAGUUUGCCGCCUGGGAAGUACGUACGCAAGUAUGAAACUUAAAGGAAUUGGCGGGGGAGCACCACAAGGGGUGAAGCCUGCGGUUCAAUUGGAGUCAACGCCGGG
This 914-nucleotide ribosomal RNA is filed under the name uncultured marine archaeon. RNAcentral's name for it is "bacterial SSU rRNA". It matches the Rfam family "Archaeal small subunit ribosomal RNA", at positions 1 to 922 of the family's 1478-position model. The record is from RNAcentral.